RNAcentral lists this ribosomal RNA (425 nucleotides) under uncultured bacterium. RNAcentral describes it as "partial 16S ribosomal RNA". It matches the Rfam family "Bacterial small subunit ribosomal RNA", at positions 354 to 796 of the family's 1533-position model. The record is from RNAcentral.
GUGGGGAAUCUUAGACAAUGGGGGAAACCCUGAUCUAGCCAUGCCGCGUGAGCGAUGAAGGCCUUAGGGUUGUCAAGCUCUUUCAGCUGGGAAGAUAAUGACGGAACCAGCAGAAGAAGCCCCGGCUAACUCCGUGCCAGCAGCCGCGGUAAUACGGAGGGGGCUAGCGUUGUUCGGAAUUACUGGGCGUAAAGCGCGCGUAGGCGGACCAGAAAGUUGGAGGUGAAAUCCCAGGGCUCAACCUUGGAACUGCCUUCAAAACUCCUGGUCUGGAGUUCGAGAGAGGUGAGUGGAAUUCCGAGUGUAGAGGUGAAAUUCGUAGAUAUUCGGAGGAACACCAGUGGCGAAGGCGGCUCACUGGCUCGAUACUGACGCUGAGGUGCGAAAGCGUGGGGAGCAAACAGGAUUAGAAACCCGAGUAGUCC